ACUGUUACGCAACGGAGGACUGUGAAUUGGGAGUUUAUUUUGUUUUUCAGUCUGUACUGGCAGCGAAUCAUACAUAGCUUAGUUUAUCAGACAAGCUGCUUUUCUUGAGCAAAGAAAGAACUAGGAGAGAAACGGGGCUUUGGAACCCUGAUGCGGCAAUGCUGAAAGAGGAGAAAUAUCCCAAGGAAGGGAAAGGUGUGUUGCAGAACGAUGAAAAAUAGGCGGCUUCUCACAGCUGUUCUCAGGGGACGAGACGGGGUGGGAUGCAGCUCCGCCGGUGCCUAACACUAAGGGCCCUCAUCCUGCCGAUUCAGUUGUGUCGGGACCGCCAGUGCUGUCUCCUCGUCAGAUGCUGCUUCUGGUCUCCCCGCAGAAGAUGCCACUGGAGUUGCCUUUUCAAGGAUGGGGACAUUUGAAGGCCCUGGACGCUCAGCUCUGAGGCUGGCUGGGAUCUCACUAGCACCCCCUGGUGGAGGCCGGAGCCAGGCUGACGCGGGAAAGUGGGGCACGGAAGCGCUGCGGAUUGGACCGGCGGCAGCUAGGCCGAAACGCCUGUAUUUAAAGGGAUAGUAACUCGGACUCGUUCUGCAAUAUCCCCACAAGGGCCUGACUGAGCGAGCGAGCAUGGACGGCCGCGGGGCUUUCUGGACAGUGGCCAUUCCCAGAGCCAGGCAGGAAGGCCUCGGGAGGCUGGGGCUCCCGUUCCCGGUGAAGCGGACGCCGCCAGCGCCCCAGAACCCAGGAGGAAGCACACAGGCCCCACAGAGAGUGGUUGGCAAGAGUCACUCGGGGAUUAGGAUGCCGGCCAAAUCGCGGAAUUUGAGGCUGGAAUCCAAGCUCAACAGGAAAGUAGUGAAAUACAAAUGGGGAAAACAGGGCUCUGGAGCGGGGAGGGAGCUGGUGCCGGCAUUUCCCACCAACGCCGGUUUAGGAAGACGGGACCGAUGCCGGCCGCCCCCUGCUGGAGGGGAUGUGGCAUCUCACGGGCUGCCAGGGAGCGGGGUUGGCUACUCCUGCAACCAGCGUGAAGAGGGUCUCAGGGGAGGCUGUGGUGGGAUCCCCCACGUGCCCUUGUUCCUCUCACCGUUACCUCUGGAUGCCUCGGGGCAAAGGCCUUCUUCCACCUAUAGACAGAGUCUACGCAGGGGUCUUGGAACCCGGGCACACCAGUCCCCAGCUAACGAAAUCCCCGAGUUGGGGGAUUUGAGAGGGUCACGUUUGGCCCAAGAACCCGCAGUCCUCUUUGGUCUUCGGCCCUCUAUUUCUAAGCGUGGGCUUCUGGCACGGCGGCUCUGGGCACAGCCCAUGCUGCUUUCGGGCUGGGUGGUUUCAACGACGACAACAAUUAUCACAGUGACGGUGACCUUCACCCCAACAGGACUGCUGUGUGUGAAGCACUCAAGAGGGCCCCUACAACCAACCUGCCAGGAGUCGGCUCCUGAAAACAGGGUCGGAAAAGGUCAGUGCCCAUCAGAAUCGAGCUGUCGGCAAAAAGCUGGAGAGGUUAGGAGCUUUGUCUAUCUCAAGGGUAACAAACUGCUUUGACCCUGAGGGCUCUGAAGACGACUUUCCCUCACCGCAGCUCUCAAGACAACAGGGAUCAGACUCAGAAAGACACUGCCUGUAUAAGGCUCUUGUUUGUCUUGUUUUUAAUUCCUGCCCUCUGCCUCCAGAUCUCAGUCCUCUAUCUGUGAAACGGAAUUCGGCCUUGCCUGUCCACGAAAUGAAGACAAGGCAUCUCGUGUGUGUUAAGAUGAAACAAGAUCUUAGCAAGAGAGUAAUGAUUUCUUUUUUAAAACAUUUUUUACUGUAGUAAAAUGUACUAUAACGUAAAAUUACCAUUUCAAUCAUUUGUAAGUUCAGUGGCAUUAAGUACAUUCACAUUGUCGGGCAGCUGUCAGAGGUGUUCGAACCAGAGCGACUCCAUCUUGAACAGGUGCUGCGCAAAAUGAGGCUGAGACCUGCUGGGCUGCAUUCCCAGGAGGUUAGGCAUUCUUCGUCACAGGAUGAGUCAGUGGCUGCCAGGGAGGCAGGUUGGUUACCCCAGGAACCAAUGAAUUGCAUCUCAGGGGAGGUUUUGCCAGAUACAGGUCACAAAGACCCUGCUGAUAAAACAAGAUGCGGUAAAGAAGCUGGCCAAAACCUACCAAAACCAGAUGGUGACAAAAGCAACCUCUGCUCGUCCUCACUGCUCAUUAUACACUAAUUAUAAUGUAUUAGCAUGGCAAAAGACACUCCCGCUAGUGCCAUGGCAGCUUACAAAUGCCAUGACAACAUCUACUUAGUUAAAUUUGCAUACUAUGAAUAUGAGUAUGCAAAUACCUGUUGGAGUCCCCGCUUUCAAAGCUUUGGGGUACACAUCCAGAAACGGAAUUGCUGGAUCAUAGGGUAAAUCUAUUUUGGAGGAAUAGUCGUACUGUUUUCCACAGUGACUGUACCAUUUUACAUUCCCACAAAAUUAUUUCUUUCUAUCUGCCUUCCCCCACUAGAUAGAACACAGGGAAGUUACUUUUUCGUUUCUAAAUCCCCAGCACCAGGAACAGUGUCUAGUUCAUAACAGAGCUCUAUAGAGAACUGUGGGGAAAGAAGUGCAAUUUAUAUGCUGCUGCCUCUUCAUUUGGCAUCUCAGUACGUGGCACACAGAAAGUAGGCACUGAAGAAGGGUUGAAGGACCUAAUGAGUACAUAAAUGAAUGCAGUUACCAUUGCUUUUUCCUUGGUCUAGACUGAGGACAGACAUUUUUGUAAAUUAAGCUACUUAGUUAAAUGUAGACCUCUGGCCAGUUUUGCUCAUCCAGAAGUUUCACUUUAAUGCCACUUCAAAGAUACUGUUUUCUGUAAAUCAGAUCAUAAUUGUGAUGAGAAUGAUGUGGGGAUGUGUCCUGGACUCUCCCCAUCCCCCACCUCACAGCCUAAUGUAUAACGCACAUUUUAUUCAGGACCAUUUUGGAUGUGUAGGAUCUGCUCCAGAACACAGGAUAAUGGGCCUCUUUUCUGGGGAUGGUGUGGUUCCAUCAUUAGAUAGCAGGUGUGUCAUCUGCAGGUACUGGUCUCACUAUUCAACCACUGGUUGAAAGAUUGGUUCAAGAUCAACUCUUUGAAAAAUCAAAGUAUUACUUUUACAAAUGCUUUUUUGAUAUUUCUCAACCAAUUAACCUUGAAAAGUUCACCAUGAAGUUGAAUUGCCUAAACUUAUACAUUGUAUGGGCACUGAGAUGCAAUUUUUAGGGCUGUGUGGGCAUCAGCGAUGCCUGUUUUCAAUACAUUGUAGCUAUGCUCAGUGUCAUGGGCCUUGUAGGGCUGACCUCUUUUUGUCCAAGCAUUGAAGCCAAUCUAAAACUCUUUUCCAAAAAGAAAAUGUUUUCUUUGCUAAUAAGUCACCAUCAACUGCAGCAGAGGCAGCUGUUUGGGCUUCACAAUUUGCGGAAGCACAUGCCAGCCUGGCUCUGUUUUGUGCUUGUUCACAGUAUAUGGCUUUGGCCUUGUUCAGCAUCAGGGAGUAGCUGUUCCUUGGGUCAUGCAUGGAGUUGGAUUUAACCCUGGCUUUCAGCUGGCCAGUCCUCAUCAGGAGCUUGGGCAGGAGAAAUAGUACUCUGGUGAAUGGUCUGAAGACAUUAGAUCAUAGAUGACCUUGGCUGCAAGCAACUAAAUCCAGACCACAACAGUUUAUCCAAAUAGGGUUAACCAAACAAGUACAAUGUGUACCCAAAUGAUAUCAGUGUCCCAUGAUCCUUCCAUCAUCCACUGGAUGAUUUCUUAAUUCAAAGUCAAACAAAAACAAAAGCAGAUUUGAAACAUUCUCAUCCAUCCUUGAAACUGGAUCACAUGCCAUGGUCUCGCUCUUUGAAGUGGUCAACUGAACAGCUGGAUACAUGGUCUGGAGCUGGGAGGAGGAGUGCCUUAGUCCAUUCCUGCUGCUAUGACAAAAUAGCUUAGACUUGGUAAUUUAUAAAUAAUAGACAUUUAUUUCUCAUUGUUCUGGUGGCUGGGAAGUCCAAGGUCAAGGUGCCGGCAGAUUCAGUGUCUGGUAAGCUCUCUGUGUCCAGGAUGACACCUUGUUGCUGCAUCUUCUGAAGAGGACAAAUGCUGUGUCCUCAUAUGGCAGAAGAGAUGCAGGGCAAAAGGGCCAAGAAGCCCUCUUGAGCCUCUUUAAUGAGGGCAUUAAUUCCAUUCAUGAGGGCAGAGCCCUCAUGACUUUGGGCCUUAACCCAAAAGGCUCCACCUCUUAAUACCAGCACAAUGAGGGGUCUGGCACUCUUCCUCAUGCUUACGAGAUGGCUGCUGGAAUUCCAGGAAUCACAUGCAAAUUCUAGUCAGGAGCAAAGAGGAAGAGACACAGUGAAAAGGGGUAUACAGCGGCAGAAGGAAGCUCCUCAAAUGAACUCUGCUAGAACUCUAGCCAGUAGCUUCUCCUUCUAUCACAGUGGCCAGAACUGUGACAAGUGACCAUCCUUAGGGGAAAAAAGAUGCUGAGAAAUGUGAAUUUUGUUGCCACCUUACAUUUUCAAAGGAGUUCCAUUCUUUUUCAGUCUGUAAGAGGGUGUGAGCAU
RNAcentral lists this long non-coding RNA (4549 nucleotides) under Homo sapiens (human). Its description in RNAcentral is "non-protein coding SPATA41:12". Lineage: Eukaryota; Metazoa; Chordata; Mammalia; Primates; Hominidae. The record is from RNAcentral.